Molecule: ribosomal RNA, 877 nt
Filed under: uncultured bacterium
Lineage: Bacteria
Description: bacterial SSU rRNA
Rfam family: Bacterial small subunit ribosomal RNA
Source: RNAcentral
AGCACUCGAAACUGCCUUUCUUGAGUGAAGUAGAGGUAAGCGGAAUUCCUAGUGUAGCGGUGAAAUGCGUAAAUAUAGGAGGAACACCAGUGGCGAAGGCGGCUUACUGGGCUUUAACUGACGCUGAGGCUCGAAAGCAUGGGUAGCAAACAGGAUUAGAUACCCUGGUAGUCCAUGCUGUAAACGAUGAUUACUAGGUGUGGGGGGACUGACCCCUUCCGUGCCGGAGUUAACACAAUAAGUAAUCCACCUGGGGAGUACGACCGCAAGGUUGAAACUCAAAGGAAUUGACGGGGGCCCGCACAAGCAGUGGAGUAUGUUGUUUAAUUCGAAGCAACGCGAAGAACCUUACCAGGUCUUGACAUCCUAUGACCGCCUAAGAGAUUAGGAAUUCCCUUCGGGGACAUAGAGACAGGUGGUGCAUGGUUGUCGUCAGCUCGUGUCGUGAGAUGUUGGGUUAAGUCCCGCAACGAGCGCAACCCUUAUGUUUAGUUGCUACGCAAGAGCACCCUAGACAGACUGCCGUUGACAAAACGGAGGAAGGUGGGGAUGACGUCAAAUCAUCAUGCCCCUUAUGACCUGGGCUACAAACGUACUACAAUGGCCAUUAACAAAGGGAAGCAACCCGGCGACGGGAGGCAAAACUCUAAAAAUGGUCCCAGUUCAGAUUGCAGGCUGCAACUCGCCUGCAUGAAGGCGGAAUUGCUAGUAAUCGCGGAUCAGCAUGCCGCGGUGAAUACGUUCCCGGGCCUUGUACACACCGCCCGUCACACCAUGAGAGUUGGCAACACCCGAAGUCAGCAGGCUAACGCAAGAAGCCGCUGCCGAAGGUGGGGUUGACGAUUGGGGUGAAGUCGUAACAAAGGUAGCCGUAGCC